Molecule: long non-coding RNA, 1735 nt
Organism: Rosa rugosa (rugosa rose)
Lineage: Eukaryota; Viridiplantae; Streptophyta; Magnoliopsida; Rosales; Rosaceae
Exons: 6
Source: RefSeq, a predicted model, not a curated record
CUAAAAAAAAUUGCAAUUGCUUCGCCUUUUUACUUCGGCAACAGUUGCCGUCGCAAUUGAGACCCUAUUGCUACGGAAAAUCUUCCGUCGCGAUUAAACUUUAUCAUUUGCGACGGAAAAUGUUUGCCGUAGUAACUCUGCAAUCAAUUGCGACGAACUUUUCUCGUACCGUCGUAAACUUUUCUCUUACUCUUGGCGCUAACCCAAUUAUUUUCCCCCUGUUUUUACUUUUGGCCAAAGUUCCCACCAACAAUACAGCCCUAAUUCUUUAUCCCUCUUUUUCCCAAACAACACCUCUCUCUCUCCCCCUCCCUCCCCAAGCUUUGUAGCUCCUCGAACUGGAACUUACCGCAGAGAUCGACGAGGUCCGCACCGCAACCUACCGCCAACAGUGACGAGCUCCUCCGUCGACGUUAACGAGGUCUGCGCGCCGGAACAUACCACCGAGACUGACGAGCUCCUCCUUUCCAUCGAAUAGCUCCUCCUUCACCAAAUAAACUGUAACAACAGCUCUCUCACACCCCAGACACAACAAAUCCAGAUCAAUAUCUCUAGGAAUCUAAGGACCAGCCCAGAACUUCUGCUAAAUCCUGUUUUGAUAUGUCAAAAUGAGGCUGAAAAAUGCUUAAUUGAGACAUCUAUUAGUUCCCUUCGUAUAAGCCUCAAGGAAUAAGUCCUCUGAUGUGCGAACUCUUUCUAAGAGAAAGAUACAUUGAUUUCUAGAUUGAUGUAUUAUAAUCUGCCAUAUGGCUAGUUGGUUCAUGCUUACUCGAUCACAUUAGCAUCUGCCAUAAUGUAUUUUCUUAUAAUUAUAACUCUGUUGAAUUUUUUGUUUGUGCCCCAAUGUGAUUGGUCUUUGAAGUAGAUGUUCUGGGUUUUGAAUUUUCAGACUAGCAGGCCUAAAGAUUGGGAGAAAGUCCCUGAUCCUAAGAAGUAUUUUGUCCAAUUUUUUGGAACAGAAGAGAUCAGAGAACACCAUCCAUUAGUUGAAAAGGCAGCUCAUUAGCAAGUCAGUAGUGAAGAAUCUGGAGUUGAUUUUGGCAAUCCAAAGCCAAGAGCUUGAUAUUAGCAGAUAAUGAGUCUGCCAAAGCAUCAAGACAACAGCUUAAAGAAGCUAGAAAAAAAAAGCUCACGUUUCCUAGGCAUAAGCUAGCAUACAGUUACUUUGGUGCUGCAAUUCUUUAUCUUCCUGAACUAGUACAUAGGUGCCACAAUCUUUGUGAAGAAAUUCUAUUCAAUGUGCCACGAUGGGCUUUAGUUAUUUAUUUCGCUAAUAUGAGGUUGUAAUUGUUGAUUGGUUUAGUUAUAAUGGAUAUUUGUAGUUUAACUUUAGAUGCAUGUAUAAUAGUUUUCAUUUUUGCAUGUUCUUAGAAUGAAAAUAUGGUGCAAUUUUCACCAUAUUUUUUUUUUAAAAAAAAAUUCGUUUUUUGCGACGGCAAGGUUACCGUCGCAAAUACCUCCACAUGGAUUAUCCUAAAACAGACAUUGCGACGGAAGUCACCGUAGCAAAUGGGCCGUCGCAAAACAAUAAAUUUGCAACGGCAAGAGAAAACCGUCGCAAAAAAGUAUUUGCGACGGCAAAUUGCCGUAGCAAUUGGAUUUUGUGACGCCACCUAUUGCAACGCCUGUCUUGCCGUCGCAAAAACCUCAAUUUACCGUCGCGAAAAGUUUUUGCCGUCGCAAAAGCUCAAUUUGCCGUCGCAAAAUAGACGUCGCAAAAGCAAUUGUUUUUAGU